AGCAAGGGCCAGAAACUGAAGUGAAUUUCUCAGGGUUUACUGGGAGUUGGGAAAAAAACCUGAACUGCUGACCUGGGCAAAUUCUCACAGAUGAGAGAUUUAUGAAGUCCAGCCUUCCUGAAGGGAGAUUCCAGCAUGCAACUGGUGCUAUGGAGAUGGGUAGUAUAUAAUAGUUUCAUCAAGACACCAAAGAAAUUGGUUGCAC
Molecule: long non-coding RNA, 205 nt
Organism: Bos indicus x Bos taurus (hybrid cattle)
Lineage: Eukaryota; Metazoa; Chordata; Mammalia; Artiodactyla; Bovidae
Source: Ensembl